RNAcentral lists this ribosomal RNA (254 nucleotides) under uncultured bacterium. RNAcentral describes it as "partial 16S ribosomal RNA". It matches the Rfam family "Bacterial small subunit ribosomal RNA", at positions 524 to 776 of the family's 1533-position model. The record is from RNAcentral.
UACGUAGGGACCAAGCGUUGUUCGGAUUUACUGGGCGUAAAGGGUGUGUAGGCGGUUAUUUAAGUUUGGUGUGAAAUCUCCCGGCUCAACCGGGAGGGUGCGCCGAAUACUGAAUGACUUGGAGUGCGGGAGAGGAAAGUGGAAUUCCUGGUGUAGCGGUGAAAUGCGUAGAUAUCAGGAGGAACACCGGUGGCGAAGGCGGGUCUCUGGGCUGACACUGACGCUCAUGCACGAAAGCGUGGGGAGCAAACAGG